CAGUCGCCGCGGGAAUACGAAGGGUGCAAGCGUUACUCGGGAUUACUGGGCGUAAAGCGUGCGUAGGUGGUUCGUUAAGUCUGAUGUGAAAGCCCUGGGCUCAACCUGGGAAUUGCAUUGGAUACUGGCGAGCUAGAGUGCGGUAGAGGGUAGUGGAAUUCCCGGUGUAGCAGUGAAAUGCGUAGAGAUCGGGAGGAACAUCUGUGGCGAAGGCGACUGCCUGGACCAGCACUGACACUGAGGCACGAAAGCGUGGGGAGCAAACAGGAUUAGAUACCCGAGUAGUCCCUGUCUCUUAUAC
RNAcentral lists this ribosomal RNA (301 nucleotides) under uncultured bacterium. RNAcentral's name for it is "partial 16S ribosomal RNA". It matches the Rfam family "Bacterial small subunit ribosomal RNA", at positions 509 to 807 of the family's 1533-position model. The record is from RNAcentral.